AUUGAACGCUGGCGGCAGGCCUAACACAUGCAAGUCGAACGGUAGCACAGAGGAGCUUGCUCCUUGGGUGACGAGUGGCGGACGGGUGAGUUAUGUCUGGGAAGCUGCCCGAUGGAGGGGGAAAACUACUGGAAACGGUAGCUAAUACCGCAUAACGUCUGCGGAGCAAAGUGGGGGACCUUGGGGCCUCACACCAGUGGAUGUGCCCAGAUGGGAUUAGCUAGUAGGUGGGGUAAUGGCUCACCUAGGCGACGAUCCCUAGCUGGUCUGCGAGGAUGACCAGCCACACUGGAACUGAGACACGGUCCAGACUCCUACGGGAGGCAGCAGUGGGGAAUAUUGCACAAUGGGCGCAAGCCUGAUGCAGCCAUGCCGCGUGUAUGAAGAAGGCCUUCGGGUUGUAAAGUACUUUCAGCGGGGAGGAAGGCGUUAAGGUUAAUAACCUUGGCGAUUGACGUUACCCGCAGAAGAAGCACCGGCUAACUCCGUGCCAGCCGCCGCGGUAA
RNAcentral lists this ribosomal RNA (506 nucleotides) under uncultured bacterium. Its description in RNAcentral is "partial 16S ribosomal RNA". It matches the Rfam family "Bacterial small subunit ribosomal RNA", at positions 30 to 523 of the family's 1533-position model. The record is from RNAcentral.